CAGCAGUGGGUGUGUCCUUUAAAUGAUGGCUGCUCUUAUUCAAUAGUACAAAGAACUGCCAUCAACCUACCAGAUGGAUAGUGGCUGGGCCUAAAAGUAACAACAAAUUCAGUGACUGGGAAGCACUAAUAAUGAAAUAACAUUGUGAAUAAACCACUUCAAUCAAGGCAGCUAAAGAAUGCCCCCAGUUUCAUAAAGUCAUUCAUAACAAGACUUAAACUCAAAUGGAAGUACACUGAAGUGUAUUUUAAUGUGCCUGUCUAUUUUACAAUAUUUGUUUUCUAUU
Long non-coding RNA from Amphimedon queenslandica, 286 nucleotides. RefSeq lists it as uncharacterized. The record is from RefSeq and is a predicted model, not a curated record. The transcript is spliced from 3 exons. NCBI's taxonomy places the organism in Eukaryota, Metazoa, Porifera, Demospongiae, Haplosclerida, Niphatidae.